UUUAACCAAAUUUAAUUAACAGUGGCCUGUGGGUUGUGGUCCAAGACACUACUUCUCGAGUGCUGCUGUUUCCGAACAACCUGCCCCAAUUCCGUGAAUUGUGAAUUACUACACUACACCAAUAUAAUCAUAAAUGCAGCAUUUCACAACAUCAACACAAACAAACACAGUGGCCUAGACACCCCUAAAAAGGACAAAAAAUCAAUCUCAUCCACAAAAAUCUGCACAAAGUCAAAACUAGUAAGAAAUACAUAACAC
RNAcentral lists this long non-coding RNA (258 nucleotides) under Solanum tuberosum (potato). RNAcentral's name for it is "long non-coding RNA (STUB_LNC009127)". Lineage: Eukaryota; Viridiplantae; Streptophyta; Magnoliopsida; Solanales; Solanaceae. The record is from RNAcentral.